RNAcentral lists this small RNA (496 nucleotides) under Pongo abelii (Sumatran orangutan). Its description in RNAcentral is "retained intron". The record is from RNAcentral. Lineage: Eukaryota; Metazoa; Chordata; Mammalia; Primates; Hominidae.
ACUCAGCGUAAACACAUCUGGAGGGGUGCAGACAAUCCUGAUGCCUGUGAAUAAAGUGGUUCAGUCAUUUUCUACCAGCAAGCCACCUGCCAUUCUGCCUAUAGCUGCCCCAACUCCAGUUGUCCCCAGCUCUGCUCCAGCAGCUGUUGCAAAAGUGAAGACCGAACCAGAAACACCUGGGCCAAGCUGCCUCUCUCAGGAGGGUCAGACAGCAGUGAAAACAGAAGAAAGUUCUGAGCUGGGAAACUAUGUCAUUAAGAUAGACCAUUUAGAGACUAUCCAGCAACUCCUAACCGCAGUAGUAAAGAAGAUUCCAUUAAUCACUGCAAAAAGUAAGACAAUUACACUGAAUAUAGGGGUGCAUUUUUGAAAGCUGUGAACUUAAGGUAUUGAGUCAACUGAAAUCACUUGGGAUUAUAAAUUAAUAUUGAUAUGGCAGUUACCUUAUAAGGUUUCAGCUAGAGAUACAGCUCAUUUGCAAGGGUUUUAGAAUUCA